UUUGCGUUAGCGAUGGAAGCGGCAUCCUUUUGCUGACGAAAGGAAGCAAAAGAUAGAGCGGACAGCGCGGUGGCGG
This 76-nucleotide small RNA is filed under the name Flavobacterium caeni. Its description in RNAcentral is "Flavo-1 RNA". It matches the Rfam family "Flavo-1 RNA". The record is from Rfam by way of RNAcentral. Lineage: Bacteria; Pseudomonadati; Bacteroidota; Flavobacteriia; Flavobacteriales; Flavobacteriaceae.